CCUACGGGAGGCAGCAGUGGGGAAUUUUGGACAAUGGGCGAAAGCCUGAUCCAGCAAUGCCGCGUGAGUGAAGAAGGCCUUCGGGUUGUAAAGCUCUUUUGUCAGGGAAGAAACGGUGAGAGCUAAUAUCUUUUGCUAAUGACGGUACCUGAAGAAUAAGCACCGGCUAACUACGUGCCAGCAGCCGCGGUAAUACGUAGGGUGCAAGCGUUAAUCGGAAUUACUGGGCGUAAAGCGUGCGCAGGCGGUUUUGUAAGUCUGAUGUGAAAUCCCCGGGCUCAACCUGGGAAUUGCAUUGGAGACUGCAAGGCUAGAAUCUGGCAGAGGGGGGUAGAAUUCCACGUGUAGCAGUGAAAUGCGUAGAUAUGUGGAGGAACACCGAUGGCGAAGGCAGCCCCCUGGGUCAAGAUUGACGCUCAUGCACGAAAGCGUGGGGAGCAAACAGGAUUAGAUACCCUGGUAGUCCACGCCCUAAACGAUGUCUACUAGUUGUCGGGUCUUAAUUGACUUGGUAACGCAGCUAACGCGUGAAGUAGACCGCCUGGGGAGUACGGUCGCAAGAUUAAAACGUCAAAUUGAAAUUGACCGG
RNAcentral lists this ribosomal RNA (589 nucleotides) under uncultured bacterium. Its description in RNAcentral is "bacterial SSU rRNA". It matches the Rfam family "Bacterial small subunit ribosomal RNA", at positions 338 to 917 of the family's 1533-position model. The record is from RNAcentral.